GGUGGGGUAACGGCCUACCAAGCCAACGAUCAGUAGCCGACCUGAGAGGGUGACCGGCCACAUUGGGACUGAGACACGGCCCAAACUCCUACGGGAGGCAGCAGUGGGGAAUAUUGCACAAUGGGGGAAACCCUGAUGCAGCGACGCCGCGUGAGCGGAGAAGUAUUUCGGUAUGUAAAGCUCUAUCAGCAGGGAAGAAAAUGACGGUACCUGACUAAGAAGCACCGGCUAAAUACGUGCCAGCAGCCGCGGUAAUACGUAUGGUGCAAGCGUUAUCCGGAUUUACUGGGUGUAAAGGGAGCGUAGACGGCUGUGUAAGUCUGAAGUGAAAGCCCGGGGCUCAACCCCGGGACUGCUUUGGAAACUAUGCAGCUAGAGUGUCGGAGAGGUAAGUGGAAUUCCCAGUGUAGCGGUGAAAUGCGUAGAUAUUGGGAGGAAC
Molecule: ribosomal RNA, 439 nt
Filed under: uncultured Lachnospiraceae bacterium
Lineage: Bacteria; Bacillati; Bacillota; Clostridia; Lachnospirales; Lachnospiraceae
Description: bacterial SSU rRNA
Rfam family: Bacterial small subunit ribosomal RNA
Source: RNAcentral